GAUUACUUAAACAAGAUAGGUGCUAGAAUUCCGAGUAUAAAGCCUGGAAAAGCCACAAUUGCAUAUUUGACAAAGAUUCAAGCUUCAACGCGAUUCUGGGGUGGUCUGUUAUUAAGUGUUUUGGCGACUACAUCCUCCAUUCUAGACCAUUAUUUGCGGCGCAUCAAUGAAGGAUAUGCAAUAGGAUUGACAUCAGUGCUAAUAAUUGUAGGUUCAAUUAUUGAAUUGAGAAGAUCUUAUCAAGCAUAUAAUGUAAUGCCAAGUCUAAGUAUGGCUUUGAAGCGUUAUGGUGUAUGAGAUUGGAGUGUGGCUCUAUUCGAGUAAAUGGGAUUCAGUUCUUGCUUGCAUCAUUGGUUCUGAGAAUAUAUUGCAUAGUCUAGGAUGUUCUUGAGCGAAAACUUAACUGCCAGUCAACUUUUAAAACUUGGAAGAUCGAAGAUAUCACAAUCAGUCAACUCUUCUCGGUGAAGACACAUUUUCCAUAUGUAGCAAGCAAUAACCCAUCCUUUGGCUGACAACACAAUUCAUCUGCUUCCUGAAAUUGUGUUUCCAGGAUACAGGAUAACUAGCAUGAAAUAGCUGAAUUUAGACAAAGGCAAGCAUGACACGGAGGGUUUAUCGAUUUGUUUACAGGGCAUCAUCAUUUGUCUUUCUUACGUUCCAAUGUUGCCACAAACUGAUGAAGUGAUGUCUGAGCGUUAAUAGAGUUCAAGAUACCUGCAGAAUACGCGUGUUCACCUUGUAUAUAAUUACAUUUUUUUUUGACAAUACUGUAGAUGGCCAAGUUAUGGCAUGAAGCAAGUCUAUUCUUCUCUUGGCAUGCAAAACAGGAUGUGAUUUUGCUAUAUUUUUGAGGGGUAUGUUUACAGUCUGCUUGUGUUUGUUGAAACGUGUACAUCAGUGUGAGGUUUUAACCAUAUUUACGCGCUGAGCACUAGUCUGUACGAAAAAUGUUCCUUUCUUUUCUCUCU
Molecule: unclassified non-coding RNA, 971 nt
Filed under: Hevea brasiliensis (rubber tree)
Lineage: Eukaryota; Viridiplantae; Streptophyta; Magnoliopsida; Malpighiales; Euphorbiaceae
Source: RNAcentral